UCCAUCUGGAGUGCGGAUAUCCUCUGCGACCAUUUAUUUGCCUGGGCUUCGAAGACCACUUGAGAAGGUGUCUAAGGUGGGGCACUUUUCGCUAUUCGAGAGGGAGCCUGUGGCCUCCGUGGGUUGCCUUCGAAGAGGUAUCCAGCCUUCAGAUUCUUAUCAAGAGCAGACCAGGAAAUCAGUGUCUUUCGGCAUGUGGCACCACCCACAAGCCUACGUCUCGAAUUUCUUCUUGAGACGGACCUCAACCUGAGGUGCACCAGGAAGGUCGGUAACCCUUUCAGACAAAGCAAGUGAAUCGACCCUCUUGUCCCGAUCAGGAGGGGAGAAGGGGCUCAGAUGAAGUGGUGCCGGGAACCUCGAUGUUCCCCUCGAGUAAAACUGGGAUGUCGGGGAACUUUUGGAGUCACAUCAAAGGUGCUAAGUACCGUUUCAAACUUCAAGACGGAACGUGAGACUUCUCUUGAGACGCUGUAGCUGGCAAGGGCCUCAUCUUGUGGUGACGGGUUAACCACGUCGUUUUUCUCGAGUUGUGGCGGGAUUCUCGAGUUAGGUCAGGAAAUUCAGGCUUCCUCUUGUGUUGGCCCAGGGAAGUCCAGUCUUCCAUUCGAGUUGCGAGGGAGAGCUAGGGAUUGCGCUUGAGUUACUGCAGGGCAAAAGAGACCUUAUCUAGGCUUGUGUCCAGGACAUAAUGUUCGUCUCCAGGGGGGACAGGGAUCUCGGGGUUGCUUUCCUGAUGCACCCGGGGAGUCAGUCCUUGUCUCGAGGGGAAGCGAAGGACUCCGCUCUCCUCUCGAG
Long non-coding RNA from Bubalus bubalis (water buffalo), 798 nucleotides. RefSeq lists it as uncharacterized. The record is from RefSeq and is a predicted model, not a curated record. The transcript has 2 exons. NCBI's taxonomy places the organism in Eukaryota, Metazoa, Chordata, Mammalia, Artiodactyla, Bovidae.